Molecule: ribosomal RNA, 388 nt
Filed under: uncultured bacterium
Lineage: Bacteria
Description: bacterial SSU rRNA
Rfam family: Bacterial small subunit ribosomal RNA
Source: RNAcentral
GACGAACGCUGGCGGCGUGCUUAACACAUGCAAGUCGAGCGGUAAGGCCCUUUCGGGGGUACACGAGCGGCGAACGGGUGAGUAACACGUGGGUGACCUGCCCUCAGCUCUGGGAUAAGCCUGGGAAACCGGGUCUAAUACUGGAUAUGACUCCAUGACGCAUGUUGUGGGGUGGAAAGCCUUGUGCGGCUGAGGAUGGGCCCGCGGCCUAUCAGCUUGUUGGUGGGGUGANGGCCUACCAAGGCGACGACGGGUAGCCGGCCGGAGAGGGCGACCGGCCACACUGGGACUGAGACACGGCCCAGACUCCUACGGGAGGCAGCAGUGGGGAAUCUUGCGCAAUGGGCGAAAGCCUGACGCAGCGACGCCGCGUGAGGGAUGACGGCCU